RNAcentral lists this ribosomal RNA (500 nucleotides) under uncultured bacterium. RNAcentral's name for it is "partial 16S ribosomal RNA". It matches the Rfam family "Bacterial small subunit ribosomal RNA", at positions 30 to 523 of the family's 1533-position model. The record is from RNAcentral.
AUUGAACGCUGGCGGCAGGCCUAACACAUGCAAGUCGAGCGGAUGAUGGAAGCUUGCAUCCUGAUUUAGCGGCGGACGGGUGAGUAAUGCCUAGGAAUCUGCCUGUUAGUGGGGGAUAACUCGGGGAAACUCGGGCUAAUACCGCAUACGUCCUACGGGAGAAAGUGGGGGAUCUUCGGACCUCACGCUAACAGAUGAGCCUAGGUCGGAUUAGCUAGUAGGUGAGGUAAUGGCUCACCUAGGCUACGAUCCGUAACUGGUCUGAGAGGAUGAUCAGUCACACUGGAACUGAGACACGGUCCAGACUCCUACGGGAGGCAGCAGUGGGGAAUAUUGGACAAUGGGCGAAAGCCUGAUCCAGCCAUGCCGCGUGUGUGAAGAAGGUCUUCGGAUUGUAAAGCACUUUAAGUUGGGAGGAAGGGCUGUAAGCUAAUAUCUUGCAGUUUUGACGUUACCAACAGAAUAAGCACCGGCUAACUCUGUGCCAGCCGCCGCAGUAA